CCUGAACCGAGAACGGAAAAAAAAGAGAGGUUCGUGGUCUCCUGGGUAGAUUGAACUACAUGUCAUGGUUCACAUCUCACCUAACAGCCACGUGUGAACCGAUUUUCAAGUUGUUGAAAAGAGAUCAAACGGUCAGGCGAAAUAAUGAUUGCCAAGGGGCAUUGAAAAUAAAAGAAUAAGUUGCAGGAACCUCUGAUUCUGAUACCUUCUGUGAAAGGAACGAUUGUUAAUCUGGUACUUGACAGCCUUCGAG
Molecule: long non-coding RNA, 253 nt
Filed under: Lathyrus oleraceus (garden pea)
Lineage: Eukaryota; Viridiplantae; Streptophyta; Magnoliopsida; Fabales; Fabaceae
Description: Pisum sativum (pea) long non-coding RNA (PSAT_LNC013431)
Source: RNAcentral